Molecule: small RNA, 75 nt
Filed under: Xanthomonas campestris
Lineage: Bacteria; Pseudomonadati; Pseudomonadota; Gammaproteobacteria; Lysobacterales; Lysobacteraceae
Description: sX9 sRNA
Rfam family: Xanthomonas sRNA sX9
Source: RNAcentral
AUGUACCCACGUACACUCCGGUUCCUCCGCGCCGGCCGCACCCACCUGACGACUGCUCGCUACGUUUUGUUAGCC